This 253-nucleotide ribosomal RNA is filed under the name uncultured Caulobacter sp. RNAcentral describes it as "partial 16S ribosomal RNA". It matches the Rfam family "Bacterial small subunit ribosomal RNA", at positions 524 to 776 of the family's 1533-position model. Lineage: Bacteria; Pseudomonadati; Pseudomonadota; Alphaproteobacteria; Caulobacterales; Caulobacteraceae. The record is from RNAcentral.
UACGAAGGGGGCUAGCGUUGCUCGGAUUUACUGGGCGUAAAGGGCGCGUAGGCGGACGAUUUAGUCAGAGGUGAAAGCCCGGGGCUCAACCCCGGAAUUGCCUUUGAUACUGGUCGUCUUGAGUUUGGGAGAGGUGUGUGGAACUCCGAGUGUAGAGGUGAAAUUCGUAGAUAUUCGGAAGAACACCAGUGGCGAAGGCGACACACUGGCCCAAUACUGACGCUGAGGCGCGAAAGCGUGGGGAGCAAACAGG